This 322-nucleotide long non-coding RNA is filed under the name Pan troglodytes (chimpanzee). RNAcentral describes it as "long non-coding RNA NONPTRT002552". Lineage: Eukaryota; Metazoa; Chordata; Mammalia; Primates; Hominidae. The record is from RNAcentral.
GGGUGAUAUGGAGCAUUUGCCAGUUUCCAUGGUGUAAAUGGUUGAUUUCAAUCCACCAUGGUUGAUUUCAACCUAUAUAGUGUAAAAAGGGGAAAAGAAAAAUAAAAGGAUCAGAUAAGAGUAUGAAAAAAGAGGAGGGAAGAGAAAAUAAAAAAGGAAUAUAAAAAGAAAAUAUCUCAUACAGAGAACAUUACAUGUUGUAAGAUAAGUCUCAUUUAAUGAAAUUUCUGUUUCUGUUAUACACACAUGUGUAUGUAUGUGCUAUAUGCAUGUAUUGGGUAGUGAUGUGAAAUGAACUUCUUACUGUGGUUGGUCUGAAAAC